ACCAGGAUCACACUGAAUAGCUUGCAGUCUAAGUAGGAAGGGCUGCAGGGGGACAAAAUGAGGUGACUGUCGUGCUCUGUCCACAGGCCUCUUGGAGCCACCUUAACCAACAUUUGCCUGGCUCCAAAGACCUCAUUCUCCCCAACACCACCAGAGUGCCACUCCUCUUAGAUUCCUACCAAGAAGACUGUUAUUUUCCUAAGGCCCUACCCACAGGGCCAGCAGUGUGGGUUCACCUGAGGGAGCCUGGCACACAGGCCCCCCCCAGCCUGCUCAGUCACCACCCUUUCAAGGCCUGAGCACCUCCAGGUGUACAGGGGCUUUGCACCAAGUCAGGUGAGCAUCACCAAGCUCGAGAGCCGCAGGGCUAAUGCUGUGGAUUAGAGUCCAAUUUACUUUAAAAUGCCCGUGGGACAAGGUCCAGGUAGCUUGAGGUUCCAGCUGAUUUUUCAGACUCUACAUGGAGAGACCAGGGGUGUUUAACAGGACUGCUGGGCACUGCCGUUUCCCAAGGGCCACGCUAGCCUCCUGGCUGGGAGCAUGGUGUGGACCUGAGGUCAAGGACAGCCACGGGAACAUGCCGUCAGAGACUGAGUGGUCACAGGUGAACGCUGUACCCUGGACUAGCUAGAGGAUACAGAAAAAGCCAAGUCCAGGAAUUUCAGUUGUCAGCAGGUGACGCACCUCUGGCCUUUUGCCCUGCUCUGCUCAGUGUGGGUCACCUGUCUUGACGCACAGGUCCUGGUCCUGGUCUCCUUAGACUUUCCAAGCACCUUCACACCUGGGGCUCCGUUUUGAUCCCCACGUGUAUUAUUGAGCCUAUUUUAUAGAUGAGCCAUUACAGGCACCCAGAGGGUUGGGCACUGCCCAGCCACGGAGCCAGUGGAGGCCAAGGCACAGGUACUCAUGACGCAUUCUCCCUCACGGGUGAGGGGCUAUGGCAGUGAUCAGGAGUCGGGCCCAGCUGCUGGCCUCAAGCACUGCGGUGGCCAGCCCAGGGCAGGUGCCUCAGCUCUCUGAUGCUCUCUCUCUCUGCCCACUGUCCUAGAGGCACACCAGGAAUGCAGGUGUGUCCCAGAGGUGGGCUCACCUCUGAGGAAGGGUGGCUUCUUCUGAUGCACUGCCUGCAUGGUGCCCGAGGGUGCCUGGCUGCCAUGUGGAGAGGAGGUGGAGACUGGGCCAGUGAUUGAUGCUGCUGUCCCUCAGCCUCUGAGCCAGGGAUGUGUGGAGCUUCGUGGCGCUGAGAAGGCACCAGCUCUGAGGUCCUGGGAAGGCUGGAAGCCUUCCAUGCCCCGUUCUCCAGGUGGCGGCCCAGCGGCCUUGUGCGCUAUCUCAGGAGCCCAAGAACAGCCAUGCAGCCAGGGCCUGUCUCAGGCACAUCCCCCCUCCCCUGGCGUCAACUCAGACUGGGGUUGGGGUCCAGCAGGACCUGUGGCCUCCCCUGUGUGCCCUGCCCCAGAGGCCUCACCACCACAGGGAAGACACACAGAAGGUGUGAGAGGCUGAUCAAGUGGGUACGGGGUGGCAGGAACUCCAGGGACUGGGCCAUGGGUUCUGGGGGAGGGGCCACUGGCUCCGGCAGUUGGACCUGGGGGCAAGCGUUGGUUGCUGGAGGGGUGACCAGUGGCAGCGCUGGCCAUAGCUGGAGGGAACCUCCUGAGAGCCCAGAGCAGAACCCCAGCCCUUCCCCAGAACUGCUCAGAGGACCACGUGUGGCCAGCUGCCCUUCAAACAGGGUCCAGCCCCCACAGUGGUGCUGUCCUCUCUUCCUUGCUCCCACCGGCCUUUCCCCAGAUGGCCUUGGGAUUGUCCCAGCCCUGAGGCCCCUCGGCUUCACAGAGUCAGCCUGUCCCUGCCAGGAGCGCGCCACGCCUGCCGAAGACCCUGUCUGUGAUCUGGGGUGUCCCCACACACUGCGUGGUUGGCAAGAGGUGCUCUUCCUGACGCGGGUUUCCUCUUUCCUUCGCAGUUAGAAACCAUGACCGCGAAGGCAACCUCCCCACCCCACUGUAAUCGGUGCUUGCAAAACACGGCUGGGUUGGCACUGGGGAGGGGGGCUGUUCUCCCAACUCUCGUAGGUCUUUCUGGUGUGGUAGGAAGGCCUCGCCAGGUCCUCUCAGAGAGGAGAGAGGCUUGCGGGCGGACACCUCCUGGGAUCACUGUGCCUCCCUCCCUUCCUCCCCCCCUCCCUCUGCCCGGGUGAGGGGCUGCGGCUGGGUCCUUUCUUCACCCGCAGGAGGUGGCAUAUUUGUUCAGCUUAGUGCCAAGGUCAAGCGCAGACCCUGGUCAGAAGCCAAGCGUUCCAGUCCCGGUAGCUUGCAGCCUUGGCAUGUUAUUUGACCUGCCUCGUCUCCCUCGUCAGCAGAAUGGGCAGGAUAAUGGCGCUUAUUCCAUGUUAGGUGGGUGAGAUGAGUCAACACGCUCACCUUAAAACAACACCGAGCACUGUGGUGGCUGUUGCUACUGUCCACCCGAUUCUCUUGCUAGGGUCACCAUAUUGUGUUGGGGCAUUUGAGAUGGCGAGUAGCCAGCCAGGCCGGGCCCCAUGGGUGCGUGCCAUUCCUGCCUGGAGCAGAGACCUCUUCCAGCUUCGUCCACCACCAGGGUGGAUGCCAUACCUCGCUGCUUCUGAACGCAGCGUCUUAGACCACUCGGCCAUCCUGACGGCACCUCGCUGCUUCUGGCAGAGAAAUGCCUAGCAGGGCUCAGAUGACCAAGAGAGGUUAGUGCCAUGCACCCUUUCCUGUGAGAAUGCCUGGGUUCCACAUGACACCGACUUCACUGGCUUCCCUGCCCCCUCCAUCACCCCUGUGUGUGCCAGCCACUGCUGGGCCACCCACCCACAGUGGCUGCUCAGCACACAAUGGUGACUCCUGUGGACUUCCUUGGCACCAGGCAGACUGUCCUGUGAGAACACCAAGCCUGCCUGUGUAUUUGGCCUGUGUGCAGAAAAUAGGUGAAUUGAGUGCCGCGGCUCAAAGCCCACCGGCUGGCUGGAUGGAGGAACUGAAAUACAUUAGGGGGAACCCAUGGGCACAGUGGCUGGUGCUUGCCUAGGAACGUCCCCUGAGCAUUGAUUUCACUUAAGCUAAGUAGGAGCACCUUAGACACAAGCUCCCACAGUGCCUUGCAGCCACCAGAGCCCGAGGCUGAGCUGGACACGCUCUGGCCUCUCCCCACGGGAGUGGACAGCUCUCCUCUGGGCCCCUACUGGCCUCUGGCUGUAGGAAUGAACUGUGACACCAUGCUGGGCACUGCUUUGCCUGCUGUGCGAAGAGCAUGCAAGACUCAGGGAGGUAUGCAGUGGCCGUGCCAUCCACCUGAGCAGCUUUAAUGGUGCAGAGGCCCUGCUGGCAGGGCUCCUGCUGGACAAGAGAGGACGUCUGGAUGGCGUAGUUUGUGUGGGGCUUCGUGGAACGAGCAGCAUUCUGUUCUCAGUUUUUGCGUGAGAGCAGCUACUGUUCUCGAGGUUUUGCGUGCGCCUCUGUCAGCUGGUUACCUUGCAGCACGACCAUCCUGCCUCAGCUUCCCAUCAACACACAGGGUCAGUGCAGUGUCCUCCUUUGCAGUGGGGGUAGCCAAGGCCCAACUGCAGGAGUUAACUGUCAGAGGCACCAGGCAGGAGCCACAGCUGAACUGUAGUUGAGUGCCGGCUGCCGGAGGCCCCUGCAACGGAAGGUCUUCUCUUCCCUCUGGCUGCUUAAAUUUCCAGGUGAACCCAGAAGGUGACCGCGCCAGCCCAUGGUGGGAGAACUGCUCCUCUGAUUCAGAAGAGGGCACAAAGGUCCUCCACAGCAUUGGCAUGGGUGCCUCUCCAAGCCUGCUUGCUGCCCUCUUGUGAGAAGAACUGUCCUUCUAUCGCAGAGCCAUUGUUUCCCAAGUGUCAGGUUUAAUUUAGGCACCCUCUCUCUUGAGGAGAUUGCAAAAAUUAAAUCGUUUUUAAGCAACCAAACAACGCUUCUGGGGUUUGUAACAAACUUGUGAAAUGUGCGGAACUUGGCGGUUAGGUUCCCCUGUCCUGCUCCCUCCUCAUCUUGCCAACUGGGGCCUGGCUACUGCUCCUUGGACCAAGGACACCAGAGUCCUCAGCUAAUCAAGGGACUCUGGUGGAGCAACCCCCCAAACCCCAGUCCCGGCUUCUGAUCCUGCCAUCCCUCUGCUAUGUAGGAAAAGCCAACAGACCAGGUGGGUGGGGAGUCCCACCUACAGAUGCCACAGACCAUCAUGACAGUGACACAUAUGAGCAGUCACCUUGGCUUGGUGAGUCGCUCUGUCCCCUUCUCAGAUGACUCCAGGGCCCUUGAGGGAUAGGACUACAUGUGGGCCACCUCUGUCUCUGCUCUAGAGAAUAUCCUGGCCCCCGCAGGGAGGUGGCCUUGCUUCAGAUGUAGCUGGCUGGUGUUGCUGGCCUCAGCUGGGCACACAAAGCUGUUGUCUCUAGCUCCUCAUAACCCUCAGUCGGGGGCUUACCUUCAAGUGGUCAGGAUUCAGAAGGGGCCAAGGCUACCAAGAUGACAUAACAGGCCAUUCCCUCCAUAGGAAGCACUGAUGGGGGACAGGGGGCCAGGAAGGUGCUGAGACAUGGCCUCUGGUCUUUGGUGUCUACAGGGCAGGGCCUCUACAGUUUCCUCAUCCUAGUAGUUACGAAUCUGGAGUCCAGAGGACUGGGUCCUAGCCCUGACCAACAUGGACAGUCUGCACUCUCCUGUGAAGAUGCCUAGGAGGGGCUCAGAACUGUGCCCAGAGGCUGGUGUGUGUGCAGCAGCAGUGGUCACAGUAUUAUUUGACCAUAUCUCUGCUCCAAGGAGAUACCAUGACCUGGUCAUAGGUUCUAACCACUGAACCAUGGGAUGAAUAAGAAACUGUCUCAGUGGUUGGCAAGGCUCACUGACAAAGGACACUGCAAAGCCUUACUGAACAAUGGUCCCCAAAGAUGUCCACGACCUCAUCCCUGGACCCUGGGAAUGUGCUAGGUCUCAUGGCAAAUGGAAAGUAAGUUUGAAAAGGGAAUUAAGGUGACCCCCAGGUGACCUUAAGAUAGCAAGGUUGGCCUGGACAUCCCAGGUGGACAGGAUAUAAUCACAGGGUCCUUGAAAGUGGAAGAGGGUGACAGAGAAGGAGAGGCAGAUGUAGGUGUGACCACAGAAGCAAGAGGGUUAGGGGUGGCACUAGAGUGGCACAGAGAGGCCAUUUGGCUGGCAGAAGAAGGAGGCCAGCCCAGGAGCCAAGGGGCACGAGAGGUCUGCUAAAGCUGGCGGGGCCUCGGAACAACUUCCCCUAGAGCUCUAGGGAGGAGCACAGCCCUGCCGGCCCCUGGAUGCUAUUAGCCAGGGAGAAGUCAUCCUGCAGCACUGAAGGACAGUGAGUGUGACGUGCAAGCUGUGACGUUGAUGGCAAUUUGCUGCAGCAGCAGGAACCUGUGCACAGGGCCGCCGCCCCUGUGUCUGGGUGCUGCCUCUGCUGGGCCCAGGUGCUCAGCUUGCCUGUGUGGGGCUCCGGGCCCCUCCAGUCCUUCCACCAGGCCGUUCUGUGGUGUGUACCUUUCUCUGGUCGAGAAAGACCAAGCAUAUCCAAUGCUACCAAGAGUCUGACCUUUUUCUGGAGAUGCUUAUUAAAAACUCUAGGGUUUUCUUUCACCAUUGGUUCUUCAGGUUCUACUAGGGUUGGAAGGCAGCUGACUCUGGAGCAGCAGAAGUACUGGGAAGCAGCUGUUUGCUUUGGUAGCUCCUGACCAGUUUGGGAGUCUGCACACAGUAUUGGACCCACAGCGCAGUGAGGCUCCAGGCCGACUUCCUCCUCCCAGAGACGCCCAAGAACGUAGGAACACCAGUGUUCUCCCAUCACCUGCCAGACCAUUAGGGCUCAGAAGGACUUGCGUCCACCUGAAGAGAGCUGGAGGCCCAUGUGGCCCAGGCCCUGGGCAGUUCACUGCUCCCCCUUGGGCCCCUCCACCUUCAAAGCAAGUGAUGGAGAGCCCUCGUGUCUUCUCGGGCCUCCCACUUUACCAAGCGAGGUUGAAUUUACAACUUCUUUCGGGCAACAUCUGGCUUGCUUCCCACGAGUGCUUCCUCUGGUUUUAAUCUUUUAUCUAACGUCAUUUCAGUUCCGUUUCCUGAAUCUCCUUUUUCCCUAUUUCUUCUGGCAUUUGGAGACAAGAGAUGGGAGUCAGAGGGCUUGUCACUGAAGCCAAGGGCUUAGCUUGGAAGUGCAAGUGCCACCUGGGCCCUGCUUGAUUUAUUUCUUUUAGGCCACAGAGCCACAAGGCUCAGACCCCAGUGAGCUGCCGGGACAUCUUGUGGCACCGACUCUUUGCACACUUGUGCAGAGAUUCGGCUGCCUCUCAACCCUAGGGCACACUUAUGCCCCAACCCACCUGGAUUCUGACUAUUGCUGUUGUUGGGGCUUAAAUAGAAAAAGGUUCUGUGGGUUUUAUAAAUUCUGUAGGUUUUGCUACGGUAGGCCAAGCCAGGGGAGGGAGUGCAGAGGCCGCAGUAGGCCCCCGGCAUUGUUUCGGGCUCACUCUGCUCUGUGGCCACCCUCAGGAAGGCCCUGGUCACCAGGGGAGGCUGGGUUAAGGCCUCUGAGAAGCUCCCCAGCCUCAUGUUGAAAAUACCCACACUUCCUGCUCCUCUGCCGACCUCUGCACAGACCGCCAGUGACUCACCUGCAGUGGUUUGAAAAGUGCCUGUCACCCGAGGCAUCUCGAGAGCCCAUCCUGUUUCAGAUGUUAUUUUUUCCACUCUCAGCUACGCAGUGGUAGAAAAGCUGAAUGCUUCAAGCCAGUGUUUGUUUUGAGUGCAGAGGGUGAAGGGCGAAUUAACUGCUGCAGCAGGAAGAGCCCAACUCUAAGAGGGGGGAAAAACAUGUAAACAGUGUGGGGAUUGAGUUUCAAAGCCCUUGUUUUCGAAAAGUUUAAUGAUAUUUCAACUAAAGCCAAACUGUCAAAGCAUGGGGAGGGGCCAUCUGCCUGCUUUGAAAACGCAUUAGCCUUCUUAUGUAAAAGCCAAUAAUUGACAUCCAGGAGGAAACCCGAGCUGCAGGGGAGAGGUGGCCUCUUAGAAGGGCCCCAAUGCCACAUCCCUAUCGCCAUGUGCACUUCUUCAGAUCUUGGUCUCUGACAUGGGAAAUUGGAGAGGAGAACAAAGGGGAAGCACAGAACGGUCCGUGGACAGAGAGGGUUGAAAUACCAGGUCUAGUCUGCACAGUGCAUGGAUCCGGCUCUGUGGGUCAUGAUGUAUGCUAGAGCAACCUGGCAGGGGCCAUAAUCAUCAAGACAGGAGCAUUACAAACAACUGCCAGUCUCACCUUCUUCCUCCUGAGAAACGUAGGAUGUGUCUGGGCUGCCCCAGGACAGGGCCAACGCUGGGCCUCUCCGGUUCCCUGCCUGACGGGUUUGCAGGCUGCUCUCUUCUUCCAGACUCUUCGCAGCCACUUCCUCUAAAGAGGGACCCUUCUGUGCCUUGGCAGUUCCCAUUCCUGCUUCUCCUUUGGUGAUUUCUAGAACUUUCUGGUUUCCAGUGCACAGAUUCUUCCUCUUGUUCUCUGGUGUCUAAGGAGACUCUGUAUCCUAAACCAUGCCCAGGCAAGGUUGACCUUGCACGGAAUGAAGAACUAUAUAGGCCCCAUAACGCGAGUUGGGGUAGAGGAGAGUAGGCACCCGACAGAUUGAGACAGGAUCGGGGUGCCUCUAGCUAGGAAUGACUGGCUUUAGGCUUGGGUCCCCAAAGGUGGCCAAGUCUUCCUUGUUUGGUCAAGCCUCUGGCCACGUGGCUCUUGGAAUGAUAGGAUUCUCCCUCCUUGUUCUAGUUUGCAUACUAAAAACAUUGCUUGUGGGAAUCAGCAGAGUGUGCAGGAAAAUCAGAAAGGGGCCGCUGGUGGGAAGCAGGGCAGGAGCGCCCUGAGUCCAGCUCCUAGCUCAGUUGGCAGCGUGUGGAGUCUGAGGGCCACACUGGCCGCAGGGUGCGUGGUUGUUGGACAGAUGCUGCAGACAGCCAAAGGGUUCUAUGAAGAGGAGGGUCGGGCCCCGACAAGCCCACUGAGACAUCUCACCCCAGAGCUCAUCCCAAUCCCCAUUCCUUCCUCCCCAGCAAAGCCGAGCAGGGCUCGGGUCACCUUCUGCUGCCUCCAAACUUCCCGUUCAAGUUCUCCAAAGCUGAGGACAUCUCAUGGUGGUUGGAAGAGCCACCAGCUGGGAGCCUGGUGCUGCUUCUGGUAUUAAACUAAAUUUGGACACGUGAUCCUGCCUCUCUGGCCUCACGUCCUUUCUUCAUCUGAAACCUAGGGAACUGGGUUUGACGAUUUUCAAAAAUAUAUUAGAAACUAUUUGUCAGAAAGUCAUGUAUGUUUUUAAAAAAAUUGUGUACAUUUUUAAAUUGACACAUAAAAUCUGAACCUGUUGGUGAGUCCCC
Long non-coding RNA from Marmota monax (woodchuck), 8408 nucleotides. RefSeq lists it as uncharacterized. The record is from RefSeq and is a predicted model, not a curated record. The transcript is spliced from 2 exons. NCBI's taxonomy places the organism in Eukaryota, Metazoa, Chordata, Mammalia, Rodentia, Sciuridae.